This 469-nucleotide ribosomal RNA is filed under the name uncultured bacterium. Its description in RNAcentral is "partial 16S ribosomal RNA". It matches the Rfam family "Bacterial small subunit ribosomal RNA", at positions 28 to 507 of the family's 1533-position model. The record is from RNAcentral.
GAUGAACGCUGGCGGCGUGCUUAACACAUGCAAGUCGAACGAUGAAGCUGGAGCUUGCUCUGGCUGAUUAGUGGCGAACGGGUGAGUAACACGUGAGCAACCUGCCCCUGACUCUGGGAUAACAGCCCGAAACGGCUGCGAAUACCGCAUAUGCACCAUGAACCCAUGUUCUGUGGUGGGGAAGAUUGUUCGGUUGGGGAUUGGUUCGCGGCCUAUCAGCUUGUUGGUGAGGUAAUGGGGUACCAAGGGGUCGACGGGUAGCCGGCCUGAGAGGGUGAACGCCGACCAUGGGACUGAGACAGGGACCAGUCGCGUACGGGAGGCAGCAGUGGAGAAUAUUGCACAAUGGGCGAAAGCCUGAUGCAGCAGCGCCGCGUGAGGGAUGCUCGGCUUCGGGGUGUAAACAUCUGUUAGCAGGGAAGAAGCGGGAGUGACGGUACCUGCAGAAAAAGCGCCGGCUAACUACGUG